RNAcentral lists this ribosomal RNA (700 nucleotides) under uncultured bacterium. RNAcentral's name for it is "bacterial SSU rRNA". It matches the Rfam family "Bacterial small subunit ribosomal RNA", at positions 8 to 727 of the family's 1533-position model. The record is from RNAcentral.
AGAGUUUGAUCAUGGCUCAGAGUGAACGCUGGCGGCGUGCUUAACACAUGCAAGUCGAACGAGAACGGUCCUUCGGGAUGUCAGCUAAGUGGCGGACGGGUGAGUAAUGUAUAGUUAAUCUGCCCUUUAGAGGGGGAUAACAGUUGGAAACGACUGCUAAUACCCCAUACUCCUUUUACCUUAAUGGUAAUUGGGAAACGUUUUUUCGCUAAAGGAUGAGACUAUAUGGUAUCAGGUAGUUGGUGGGGUAAGAGCCUACCAAGCCAAUGACGCCUAGCUGGUCUGAGAGGAUGAUCAGCCACACUGGAACUGAGACACGGUCCAGACUCCUACGGGAGGCAGCAGUGGGGAAUAUUGCACAAUGGAGGAAACUCUGAUGCAGCAACGCCGCGUGGAGGAUGACGCAUUUCGGUGUGUAAACUCCUUUUAUAUGGGAAGAUAAUGACGGUACCACUGAAGGAAGCACCGGCUAACUCCGUGCCAGCAGCCGCGGUAAUACGGGGGGUGCAAGCGUUAUUCGGAAUCAUUGGGCGUAAAGGGCACGCAGGCGGCCUGGUAAGUCAGAUGUGAAAGCCCGGGGCUUAACCCCGGAAGUGCAUUUGAUACUGUCAGGCUUGAGUAUGGGAGAGGGAAGUGGAAUUCCUGGUGUAGAGGUGAAAUUCGUAGAUAUCAGGAGGAACACCGGUGGCGAAGGCGACUU